GACGAACGCUGGCGGCGUGCUUAACACAUGCAAGUCGAACGAGUGGCGAACGGGUGAGUAAUACGUGAGUAACCUGCCCUCUUUUUGGGAUAAGCCUUGGAAACGGGGUCUAAUACCGGAUAAAGGGGGAUGGGCUCGCGGCCUAUCAGCUUGUUGGUGGGGUGAUGGCCUACCAAGGCGGUGACGGGUAGACGGCCUGAGAGGGUGACCGGCCACAAUGGGACGGAGGUACGGCCCAGACUCCUACGGGAGGCAGCAGUGGGGGAUAUUGCGCAAUGGGCGAAAGCCUGAUGCCGCGACGCCGCGGGGGGGAUGAAGGCUUUCGGGUUGUAAACCUCUUUCGCUAUCGAGAGGGUAGGUGGAGAAGAAGCGCCGGCUAACUACAUGCCAGCCGCCGCGGUAAUAC
RNAcentral lists this ribosomal RNA (406 nucleotides) under uncultured bacterium. RNAcentral describes it as "partial 16S ribosomal RNA". It matches the Rfam family "Bacterial small subunit ribosomal RNA", at positions 28 to 526 of the family's 1533-position model. The record is from RNAcentral.